This 1654-nucleotide long non-coding RNA is filed under the name Papio anubis (olive baboon). Its description in RNAcentral is "lncRNA (ENSPANG00000040684.1)". Lineage: Eukaryota; Metazoa; Chordata; Mammalia; Primates; Cercopithecidae. The record is from RNAcentral.
AUAUUUUUGGAUGUGUGCAGAAGCGGUAAGGAGACAGAGAAAGGGGAUUUAAACCCGUGGAGACAGCGGCAGGAAAGAUUGGCAGAAACUCUCCCGCACAACCUGUUUCCUUGCAAAAGGAGGUGCUGGCUGCAGCACCCUUGUGUGGCUUGUGGGUGUGGUCAGGCCAGGUUGGGAUGUGGGGAUGGUGCCAGGGAGCUGACCCUGUUCCAGGAGCAGAGUCCAUGCCCCUUCCUCCCGAGCCCUCGAAAGCUGGGACUGCAGCACUGCUCACAGGAAACCCUCCUCCUCCACUCUGUGGCAGUUAUACACAACACAGACCAUUUCCAGGUGUUUUGUGGUUACCCAAAGCUGCUUCCCCUGUUCCACCUGAGGAAUAUCCAAUCUUCUGAUUGCUUGUUUUCUGUGCUUAUGGUACUUACGGUGUUACAUAUCUUGGAGUUUAUGAGGAAAUCAAGCAGCGCUUGCUCAGCACCUGAUAGUGCAGAUGCUAAGCUGCAGUCAUCAUUUCUGCCAUCCACUUUGUGCUCACCGUGAAACUUGGAGGAAAAUGUAAGUGCUUCUAUUUUCACAGGCGAAGAGAUACAUGUUCAGGAGAAGGUGAGUCCCAUUGUCAGUAAAUACAGUAUCAGAACUUGGAUCCAGACUUUUUUGACCACACAAUUGUGAUCCUUUCUUUGGAGGUGCUGGGCCGAGGUCUGCCUGCUUUGACAGAUAUGUUGCGAAUAAGAAAUAUUGUAGAAAGCCACCAAGAUCUGGUCUUCAGCACAGAAUAGUCCCCAUUUUUGGAGAUUCACAACACAUAUCGGAGUGAUACAUUUGGUGGGGAAGCCAGACCAUCAAACCUCCACUCACCUCACACCUCAUUCUCCCUUUGUUCUCUUCCUCGGAACAUUCUGGAUGGACAAAGAGACCCAGGAAAAAAAUGCCUCCUAGUGAGAAAAGAAUGCCUCUUAACUGAAUUUGCAAAAACCAAAACCUGACAGAAAUUGCUUUGAAAGCAUGGGGGACUAAGGACCUUAACGUUUCAAGUGGAAAUUAAUUAUGGAGGUCCUGGUAUUAUUAAUCUGAGUAAUACAAAACACAUCAAGUAGAAAGUAUACAUUUACUGUGUUGUCUUUAACUUUAUUUUAAUGUAAAAGUUUACAUAAGGGGUUUUACAGGUGGACUUGGGAUUUCAGUUGUCCAACACUUUGCUUUUUCCAUAAAGGCUCAAUCAGACUUUCCAAUUACAGGCAUUUUCGUUAUCAUUAUUCUUGAAAUACAGGGAUUACUACUGUUAUGUAUCUGCUUCUUUAGGUGUUUCCUUGGCAGAAGGACCCCAUAAACAGUGGAGCAGAGGAGACCCCUGUGUUCCUGACUGGCAUGGGAAUCCAGCUACAUGGCGCUGAUGCCCACUCCUGUCAAGAUGCAACCCCUCUGCCCUUUGCAACCUUGCCCAGAGCCAAGUGUGGGAUCUGUCAACAUAUGGCUCAGUUGGACUCAAGUUUCCUUUUUUAACACUGGAAGCAAUUUUAAUGAAUAAUACUGGGGACAAGAUGGAAAGGAAGGGAUGUUUGAAUUAACUAGGGAAUAAAAUAUAAAGUGUAUCUUGCCCUCCUGAUAGCAAUGUACAGUUCUUCUCAUUGAAAUUGAAACAAGAAAAUGCCAAAAU